UACGUAGGGUGCGAGCGUUAUCCGGAAUCAUUGGGCGUAAAGAGCUCGUAGGCGGUUCAACAAGUCGGCUGUGAAAGUCCGGGGCUCAACCCCGGAAUUGCAGUCGAUACUGUUGUGACUUGAGUCCGGUAGAGGAGAAUGGAAUUCCCGGUGUAGCGGUGGAAUGCGCAGAUAUCGGGAGGAACACCAGCGGCGAAGGCGGCGCUCUGGGCUGAGAUUGACGCUGAGGAGCGAAAGUGUGGGUAGCAAACAGGAUUAGAUACCCU
RNAcentral lists this ribosomal RNA (266 nucleotides) under uncultured prokaryote. Its description in RNAcentral is "partial 16S ribosomal RNA". It matches the Rfam family "Bacterial small subunit ribosomal RNA", at positions 524 to 788 of the family's 1533-position model. The record is from RNAcentral.